RNAcentral lists this transfer RNA (88 nucleotides) under Candidatus Margulisiibacteriota bacterium. Its description in RNAcentral is "tRNA-Ser". It matches the Rfam family "tRNA". From Rfam's summary of the family: Transfer RNA (tRNA) molecules are approximately 80 nucleotides in length. The record is from RNAcentral. Lineage: Bacteria; Bacillati; Candidatus Margulisiibacteriota.
GGAGAGUUGGCCGAGUGGUUGAUGGCGGUAGUCUUGAAAACUAUUGUGCGGAAACGUACCGGGGGUUCAAAUCCCUCACUCUCCGCCA